This is a non-coding RNA of Acanthosepion pharaonis, 110 nucleotides long. NCBI's taxonomy places the organism in Eukaryota, Metazoa, Mollusca, Cephalopoda, Sepiida, Sepiidae. The record is from the annotation of a GenBank genome assembly.
UUACGGUCAUAUCACGUUCAACACCGGUUCCUGUACGAUUACCGAAGUUAAGCAACGUCGAGCCUGGUUAGUACAAAAAUGGAUGAGCGCUUGGGAUGUGCGGCUGGUGU